This 403-nucleotide ribosomal RNA is filed under the name uncultured bacterium. Its description in RNAcentral is "bacterial SSU rRNA". It matches the Rfam family "Bacterial small subunit ribosomal RNA", at positions 356 to 775 of the family's 1533-position model. The record is from RNAcentral.
GAGGAAUAUUGCACAAUGGGCGCAAGCCUGAUGCAGCAACGCCGCGUGCGGGACGACGGCCUUCGGGUUGUAAACCGCUUUUCUGAGGGACGAGCGAGGACGGUACCUUAGGAAUAAGUCUCGGCUAACUACGUGACAGCAGCCGCGGUAAAACGGAGGAGGCGGGCGGUAUCCGGCUUUACUGGGCGUAAAGCGCGCGCAGGUGGCCGUGUAAGGUGGACGUUAAAGCUCCUGGCUUAACUGGGCGAGGGCUUUCGAUACUGCGUGGCUUGAGGUUGGGAGAGGGGUGUGGACUUCCCGGUGUAGUGGUGGAAUGCGUAGAUAUCGGGAGGAACACCUGAGGCGAAGGCGGCACCCUGGCCCACACCUGACACUGAGGGGCGAAAGCGUGGGGAGUAAACAG